GAGCUGAACGAACCAUCACCCCUCUGCUGAAACAAGGAAAGAGCAUGUGUGAACAGUCCAGGAGAGUCUGGCCUCUGAGGUUCCAGCAGACACAUGUCGGUGGCAACCAACCGCUGUCUAAUCGGACUUCAGCAGGAGGGGGCAUUACAUCUGCUACUGGAAGCUGAGCCAGCUUUCCCAGGGCUAGUGAGACCAUGGACAUUAGAAAAAACAAAACCUACUACUACCACCAUUUUUGCCAGAGCAGCAUAAUUCCUUACUGCACUCAACAUCCUUACACCCAUAGAGAAGUGCAGCUGCCAACCCUCGUCAAAGAAGCCUCUCUUCACCUCGAACAGAGAUCGUCCCAGAAAAUUACAACUGUACACAGUGCAGGGAUCAAGAGAUUAUAGAGUCCCUGAGGAUACAUCUGCAUUACAGCUCCUCAUCUGUGGCUCAGAGGAUGUAAAGGAAGAGGGGGCAGAAAGAUCAUAAGAGCCAUGCUUUGCUUUCUCAUGUCGGCUUCUACUCCGUCCCUGCCGUCAGUGCUGAAUGAGUAUGACAGACUAAUGUGAACAGGUGCAGUACACACAGGCAUAACCCAGACCCAAUGGCCAGUUUGCAUUCCUACAGUUUAACCGAAAAAUUAACUCAGAAUUAUAGAUUUUUAUUCCAACUUAUUGACUGUAUUGCUUAUUCACCUUGGGCAAAUUAAUAGUAUUUCUGUCUCGAUGUUCUUAUCUACACAAAUCUAGGGGGUUGAGAAAACUGCUUUGCAGUAUAAAGCACACAGUCCAGGGCUUAACACAGCACAACGGCCAAUAAAUGUUAGCUGUUGUGUUCAGUAGGACCUUCUAUAAAAUGUCAGGGCUGACAUGUCCUUAUGGCUCACAUGGAGACAACUGGUUGUGGGUAGAGGAACGUGGGAACUUCGUCUCUGAUGUGGUCAAAGGUAUCAAGGCCACUAGCAUGAGGAUCAAGUCAUUCUAGCUGAUGUACCCCAGGGGAGUCUCCAGGCCCUGGUCAGAUCACAGAGUGCAGGUUCUAGGCAAUGGUACAGUCAGGGCUGCCCUCAAGGUAAUAUGGGCAGAGGGAGACAGUCCCUGAAAGGUUAUUGAAGUAAGUUUACUCCAGAGCUUCCUCCACACCUGAGUCUCCUACAAUGCAACUCACCUGAGGGAGCACCUCUGGAGCAGUGUUGGCUUGUGACCUCAUGGACUGGCAUGAAGCACAUUGACUCUGUGUGCUCCUUCCAUCAAAGAAAAAAAUAUUUCAAAUAUUUGUGGACUACCUUAGUAGAAAAGCGAGUUGUGUAUGAAACACCCUCAAAGUGCAUUUUAAAAAUUUAUUUAUUUGGCAAUACUGAAGAUUAAACCUAUGGGUCAAA
This is a long non-coding RNA of Arvicanthis niloticus (Nile rat), 1366 nucleotides long. RefSeq lists it as uncharacterized. The record is from RefSeq and is a predicted model, not a curated record. NCBI's taxonomy places the organism in Eukaryota, Metazoa, Chordata, Mammalia, Rodentia, Muridae.